UGCUGGUUUAGAUCAGCAGGUAGAGCGCCUGCCUUGUAAGCAGGGUGUCGGCGGUUCGAUUCCGUUACUUGCCGCCA
RNAcentral lists this transfer RNA (77 nucleotides) under Klebsiella pneumoniae. Its description in RNAcentral is "tRNA-Thr(tgt)". It matches the Rfam family "tRNA". Rfam says of the family: Transfer RNA (tRNA) molecules are approximately 80 nucleotides in length. The record is from RNAcentral. Lineage: Bacteria; Pseudomonadati; Pseudomonadota; Gammaproteobacteria; Enterobacterales; Enterobacteriaceae.